RNA transcript from Vespa velutina, 2386 nucleotides. It is a transcript of the gene named dynein axonemal assembly factor 11, with no coding region annotated. Lineage: Eukaryota; Metazoa; Arthropoda; Insecta; Hymenoptera; Vespidae. The transcript is spliced from 10 exons. The record is from RefSeq and is a predicted model, not a curated record.
AUGACAAGCCAUCAUGGCACGCGGUCGGAGGUGUGUUUUAAGUCAUAUAACAAAUUUAUCGUGAUAAUACAAACCAUGCCUUCUUUAUAUUAAUUCCUUUUUUUUAAUUUAGUUUAUUCGUUUUUCUGCAUAAUUUUCUGUGUUUCAUUGAUUAAAACCAAAAAAAAAAAAUAAAUAAUAUAAACUAAAGACAAUGGUGAAAUUAACAGAAGAAAUGAUUGUGGCACGUACACGAAUGUCCGAUUUUUCUGCCGUAAAGAAGCUCAAUUGUUGGGGAUCAGAAUUAACAGAUGUAAGCAUUUUACGUGGAAUGGAAAAUGUGGAAGUAUUAUCAUUAAGUGUGAACAAUAUUGACACGCUUGCUGAUUUUCAAUAUUGCCACAAUUUGCGAGAUCUAUUUAUUAGAAAAAAUAAUAUUAAAGAUCUGAAUGAAGUUUGUUAUCUUCAAGAGUUACCCAAUUUAAGGAAUUUAUGGCUUGGCGAAAAUCCUUGUGCGGAAAAAGAAGGAUAUCGAUUAACUGUUCUUCGAGCUUUACCAAAUCUGGAAAAGCUAGAUGAUAAAGUAGUAGCCCCGGAAGAAGUGCAAACUGCAUUGUCAAGAGGCCGAGUACUUGUACAUCCGCUUGAUAUGGAUGCAUCUCCACCACAAUCAGAAAUGAUUAGUCCAGAGGAAGUACCUGUUGAGUAUAUUGAAGAAACACGUGUGGAAAAACAUAGGAGAUAUAGUUCAUCUAGCGACCAGAGAAGUUAUGAUGAAAUGCAUCACACACAAGAAGAGUAUCAUGAUCCUGACAGAAGAAAUGCUAAUUGUAAAACAUUACCUCAUCAUUAUGCUCAAAGCAAUCAGUAUACAUAUGAGGAUACUGAUGAUCAACCAGCAGUUUCAAGACAUAAUGGAGAUUAUGACGAGAGACGAGCUUAUUCUGAAUAUGUUAAUAAUGAUGCAUCCCAACGUUCAUACACAUCGCCUUCUCCACGUACUCAAUAUGGCGUUAAAUACGAAACUCAAGAUGAUAAUCGCUUUGAGAGGAAUAAUUAUGAGUAUGACGAUAAGAGGCAGAUAGAAUGCGAUGAACCAUUACCUCAACCAUCAUCUCAACAUAGACGAAUGCCUACUCAUCAUAAUACUGAAAGGGAAGAUACAAGUCAAGUGCCUGGUUGGGUAAGACAUUCCGAUAAAGAGAAAUGUAGACCACAGUUUCACUAUCAUAGGCGGCCAGUUACAAGGAACUCUAAUAUACUCUCUGCCGUAUUAUGCCUAGUCAAAGAAUUGGACUAUCCCAGUUUGGAAGUAGUAGAAAUGGCAGUUAGAAAUCGAAUGGAUGAAUUAGAAGAAUGAUGUUUCUGACGCCGUCCCCAAAAUCUUCAGGGGACGGUUGCCUUUUCUCGUGUUGGCAGUAUUUCCUCUAUUCCAAGUCCAGAAUUUUCUGACUCACUUGACUCUAAUCAGUGCAUCGAUAAUGAUAUGAAUUUUAACAUCGAACAUCGUAUAUGCAAUCAUUAUGGGAUAGAUGAAACUAGUGAAAAAUCACAAAUGCAGAGAAAUGAAUCUACCGAAAACUGUAAUUUAAAUCGAAAUCCAAAAACUUUCGUUACCGAUUCAAAUCUUAGGUAUAUUAAAAAUAAUCCACAUACAUACAAACUUCGGGACUCUGGAUCAGAUAAUUUGACAACAACAAUUAACAGUGAACCAAAAAGAUCGAACGACGUUAGAAGAGUAGCAAGCAGUGACAGUAUCCCCCGUAGUAACAAUAGUGGUGUAUAUUUCAAUCAAGGAAGUAAAGAUCCAAAUCAAGAUUGUAUAAGACGAUCGAAAAGUCCUGACGUUAGAAACACGAUAAUGCCACUUCGUUACAUUCAAUCAUCAAAAGGAACUUGGACGUACAACUUGCAUCUAAAUUGCACAAGGGUGCAAAUUGAUGGCUUGGAGAUAAAAUGAUUCAAGAUAUAUUAAUAAAAAAAAUAAAAAAAAAAAAAUAAAAAAAAAAAUGUUUUAGACAAAACUUAUAUAAUUUUUAAAUCCAUAUAAAAUUAUACAAGUUUUAGUAUUAAUGUAAAAGUGAUAUUUACAUGAAUUACUGUUUUUUUAUUAAUCAUUCAAUAGUAAAUUGAUAAUAACAAAUACUUAAAAAAACAUCAAAUUAUAUAAUCAUAAUAUACAAUACAUUUAUUCUUUCACUACUUAUAAAUUCAUUAAGCCUAAAAUCAUUAGAAGACUAAUACUUUUGUACAUUAUAAUUAAGGGAAAGAUUUUAUAUUAAAAGUUUCAGUUGGUUUUAAUAAAUAUUCCGUGCGCAAACUUGCCUAGUUUAACUAACUUAACUACUAUCCUUAACCUAAAUGAAUAUGAAAGAACAUUUUCAAAGUUUAUAAUAUUUAUUCUUUA